RNAcentral lists this ribosomal RNA (428 nucleotides) under Bacteroidota bacterium. RNAcentral describes it as "Bacteroidetes bacterium partial 16S ribosomal RNA". It matches the Rfam family "Bacterial small subunit ribosomal RNA", at positions 355 to 776 of the family's 1533-position model. The record is from RNAcentral. Lineage: Bacteria; Pseudomonadati; Bacteroidota.
UAGGGAAUCUUCCGCAAUGGGCGAAAGCCUGACGGAGCAACGCCGCGUGAGUGAUGAAGGUCUUCGGAUCGUAAAACUCUGUUAUUAGGGAAGAAUAAAUGUGUAAGUAACUAUGCACGUCUUGACGGUACCUAAUCAGAAAGCCACGGCUAACUACGUGCCAGCAGCCGCGGUAAUACGUAGGUGGCAAGCGUUAUCCGGAAUUAUUGGGCGUAAAGGGUACGCAGGCGGUUUAAUAAGUCGAAUGUUAAAGAUCGGGGCUCAACCCCGUAAAGCAUUGGAAACUGAUAAACUUGAGUAGUGGAGAGGAAAGUGGAAUUCCUAGUGUAGUGGUGAAAUACGUAGAUAUUAGGAGGAAUACCAGUAGCGAAGGCGACUUUCUGGACACAAACUGACGCUGAGGUACGAAAGCGUGGGGAGCAAACAGG